Molecule: ribosomal RNA, 160 nt
Filed under: uncultured bacterium
Lineage: Bacteria
Description: partial 16S ribosomal RNA
Rfam family: Bacterial small subunit ribosomal RNA
Source: RNAcentral
UGGGGAAUAUUGGACAAUGGGCGAAAGCCUGAUCCAGCCAUGCCGCGUGUGUGAAGAAGGUCUUCGGAUUGUAAAGCACUUUAAGUUGGGAGGAAGGGUUGUACGUUAAUACCGUGCAAUUUUGACGUUACCGACAGAAUAAGCACCGGCUAACUCUGUG